This 27-nucleotide non-coding RNA is filed under the name Rattus norvegicus (Norway rat). The record is from RNAcentral. Lineage: Eukaryota; Metazoa; Chordata; Mammalia; Rodentia; Muridae.
UGGGUUCUAGAAAGAACCAGAGGGAGC